Molecule: transfer RNA, 64 nt
Filed under: Cavia porcellus (domestic guinea pig)
Lineage: Eukaryota; Metazoa; Chordata; Mammalia; Rodentia; Caviidae
Rfam family: tRNA
About the family: Transfer RNA (tRNA) molecules are approximately 80 nucleotides in length.
Source: Rfam by way of RNAcentral
GGGGAUUUAGCUCAGUGGCAAAAGCACCUGCCUGGCAAGCAUGAGGUCAUGAGUUCGAUCCCCG